Molecule: ribosomal RNA, 606 nt
Filed under: Triticum aestivum (bread wheat)
Lineage: Eukaryota; Viridiplantae; Streptophyta; Magnoliopsida; Poales; Poaceae
Description: partial small subunit ribosomal RNA
Source: RNAcentral
AUGGCACCACCUUUGGCUCCGGAACCUCGAAAUGAGGUGGCCAAACUUUGCAAGGAGGCUAAGGAGAUUCUUCUAGAAAAGAGAUCAUCGUAUAGAAAGAUGCAGUUAUACAUUCGCUCUGGGCUUGCUGAAGCGCUGCAGACAUAUGCCUUGGAGCAUCCUCGGGAACCAAAGUAUGUGCCGAGUGUUAUCUGUGGCGUGGAGUCCGCUUCGGAAUCCUUGGGCAGGGACUGCUACCACGUUAACUUUGUGGCUGCUCCCGAAUCAGGGGCCCAUAACCAGUUUUUCUUCGCCCAAGUCAAUUGUUCGUUUCCUUAUCAGAAGACAGAACCAAAUUUCUGCUGCCCUCUACUCUUCACACACACCACUUUGCUGCUGAUCGCAUGCCGUUGCUUCUAUGGAAAGGGAUCCGCGAGGAAGCUUGUGUAUCCAGAUUCAGCAGACUAUUUUGAGUGUGAUGGUGAUAUUACUGACGGUGGAACAAUGAACACGGACGGAAUGCUAGACACAGAUUUCAUCUUCGAUUUUAGGAGAGACAUGCAGUUUGCAGAUAAUCUGAGAAUAUAUAGUGAACAACAGAAGUUACCGGAGUGUGAUGAGUAUUAA